This 65-nucleotide transfer RNA is filed under the name Aneurus sublobatus. RNAcentral's name for it is "tRNA-Ile". The record is from RNAcentral. Lineage: Eukaryota; Metazoa; Arthropoda; Insecta; Hemiptera; Aradidae.
AAUAGGAUGCCUGAAAAAAGGGCUUCCUUGAUAGGGAAGAUCAUGCAUAUAUAAUGCCCCUAUUA